UACUUGAAACCCAAAGAAUUUGGCGGUAUUUUACUCUUCUUAAAGGAACCUGUUCUGUAAUUGAUAAUACACGAUGAUGAAUUACUUAUUUUUGUAUGCAGUUUGUAUACCUCCGUCAUAAGAAUAUCUUUUUAGAGUAAAUAUUCUUUUCAUAAAAAAUAUAAUAUGUCAGGUCAAGGUGCAAUUUAUGAAUAAGUAGAAAUGGGUUACAAUAAAAAUAUUUACACGAAUUGUUGUUUUUAUAAAAUUGCAUGAAGGUGGAUUUAAUAGUAAAAUUGUUUUCUUAUCAAUUUGACAUUGGCUCUAAAAUAUGCACACAUCGCCCGUCGCUCUUAUUUUAAAAUAAGAUAAGUCGUAACAUAGUAGGUGUACCGGAAGGUGUACCUAGA
RNAcentral lists this ribosomal RNA (389 nucleotides) under Nannothemis bella. RNAcentral describes it as "partial 12S ribosomal RNA". It matches the Rfam family "Microsporidia small subunit ribosomal RNA", at positions 768 to 1305 of the family's 1311-position model. Lineage: Eukaryota; Metazoa; Arthropoda; Insecta; Odonata; Libellulidae. The record is from RNAcentral.